UACGAAGGGGGCUAGCGUUGCUCGGAAUUACUGGGCGUAAAGCGCACGUAGGCGGCUUCUUAAGUCGGUGGUGAAAUCCUGGAGCUCAACUCCAGAACUGCCUUCGAUACUGGGAGCUCGAGUCCGGGAGAGGUGAGUGGAACUGCGAGUGUAGAGGUGAAAUUCGUAGAUAUUCGCAAGAACACCAGUGGCGAAGGCGGCUCACUGGCCCGAUACUGACGCUGAGGCACGAAAGCGUGGGGAGCAAACAGG
RNAcentral lists this ribosomal RNA (252 nucleotides) under uncultured bacterium. RNAcentral's name for it is "partial 16S ribosomal RNA". It matches the Rfam family "Bacterial small subunit ribosomal RNA", at positions 524 to 776 of the family's 1533-position model. The record is from RNAcentral.